This 497-nucleotide ribosomal RNA is filed under the name uncultured bacterium. RNAcentral describes it as "partial 16S ribosomal RNA". It matches the Rfam family "Bacterial small subunit ribosomal RNA", at positions 28 to 507 of the family's 1533-position model. The record is from RNAcentral.
GAUGAACGCUGGCGGCGUGCCUAAUACAUGCAAGUCGAGCGAACAGAUAAGGAGCUUGCUCCUUUGACGUUAGCGGCGGACGGGUGAGUAACACGUGGAUAACCUACCUAUAAGACUGGGAUAACUUCGGGAAACAGGAGCUAAUACCGGAUAACAUAUUGAACCGCAUGGUUCAAUAGUGAAAGGCGGCUUUGCUGCCACUUAUAGAUGGAUCCGCGCCGUAUUAGCUAGUUGGUAAGGUAACGGCUUACCAAGGCAACGAUACGUAGCCGACCUGAGAGGGUGAUCGGCCACACUGGAACUGAGACACGGUCCAGACUCCUACGGGAGGCAGCAGUAGGGAAUCUUCCGCAAUGGGCGAAAGCCUGACGGAGCAACGCCGCGUGAGUGAUGAAGGUCUUCGGAUCGUAAAACUCUGUUAUCAGGGAAGAACAAAUGUGUAAGUAACUGUGCACAUCUUGACGGUACCUGAUCAGAAAGCCACGGCUAACUACGUG